This 468-nucleotide ribosomal RNA is filed under the name uncultured bacterium. Its description in RNAcentral is "partial 16S ribosomal RNA". It matches the Rfam family "Bacterial small subunit ribosomal RNA", at positions 28 to 507 of the family's 1533-position model. The record is from RNAcentral.
GACGAACGCUGGCGGCGUGCUUAACACAUGCAAGUCGAACGGAAAGGCCCUGCUUUUGUGGGGUGCUCGAGUGGCGAACGGGUGAGUAACACGUGAGUAACCUGCCCUUGACUUUGGGAUAACUUCAGGAAACUGGGGCUAAUACCGGAUAGGAGCUCCUGCUGCAUGGUGGGGGUUGGAAAGUUUCGGCGGUUGGGGAUGGACGCGCGGCUUAUGAGCUUGUUGGUGGGGUAGUGGCUUACCAAGGCUUUGACGGGUGGCCGGCCUGGGAGGGUGACCGGCCACAUUGGGACUGCGAUACGGCCCAGACGCCUACGGGAGGCAGCAGUGGGGAAUAUUGCACAGUGGGCGGAAGCCUGAUGCAGCAACGCCGCGUGCGGGAUGACGGCCUUCGGGUUGUAAACCGCUUUCGCCUGUGACGAAGCGUGAGUGACGGUAAUGGGUAAAGAAGCACCGGCUAACUACGUG